UCCCACUGCCUCCUGUCACGGAGCUUGUUCCUUUGUGCCGCCUUUCGAGGAAUCAAAGCAGACACGGUUGUGACACGUAGCCCGGCGGGUCAGAGGUCAGCUUUCACAAUCCCAAUUACAAUGAUUUCUAAUGAUGUUUAUCUUGAGGGCUCCGACGGCCGCGAGCUUUACAAGAGGGCUCCUCUCUCCUCCCCGCCGCUCUCAGGGCUGCGGGCGCGGCGCUGCCCGGCUCCGCGUUCCCUCCGUCGAAGGGCGCAGCGGCUGCGGGGCGGCUCGGGAGGGUCCCCCCGCGGGUCCCGGGACGAUGAGAGCGGAGCUCCCGGUGUUGUACAGUGAACGUUAACACGCGCUGCACCUCUCCCUCCCCGUCGAGUCAGGUCCGAAGCGGCGCUAACUGCGCCCGAGCGGAGGUAGGAGCUCUGCUCGCCGAACCGGCGCUCACGUUUGGCUGUCCGGAGCCGCUAGAAGGUGGGGGUGGUGGGGCUGCAGGGACCCCCCAGGGCCGUGAGGUCUCGAAUUGGGCGGUGGGGGGCAGAGGCGGCUCCCGUCGGGGCUGCGGCAUCUCGGGGGUGACAGCGGUUCGAUCCCUUUUCAUUCCGUCUUACAACAACUAAACUGCGAGCGGACCGAAACGCGGCUCCACCGCUCCCGGUUCGAUCUCAAACCGUUCGGGGAAAGCUUUGCCGGGCGGCAAAGGGGUGAAAUUCGGAGCAAACAGUGGAGAGCUGUGAGUCGGGAAAACAAAUCCGUAACUUUUUACCGUCUGCCGGGUGCGGGGCACGGAGCGGCCUCGGGCGGCGCGUUGGGUGCACCUCUGUGCUCCUCAUCCAAUGCCUUAGAGAGAUUUAAGGUGAAUGUGGACGGGGUAACGCGGCUGUGCCCUACGGGGGUGGUGGUGGUGAUUCGGGAAUCGGGCUGUGCUGCGCACUGCAGUCCUUUGCUCCGGGAUCUGAUCCGUACUGCACCAGCUCAGGACCUUUGGCCAGAAAGGAUGAAGUGUAAGUCAACAAGUUCACUCUGCUGUGCUGGCUCUCAAGAUUCUCCUUAAUUUUCCUUCAGGUUGCCCAGAGGGAUGGUGGAAGCCCUAUUCCUGGAGACAUCCAAGGUCAGGCUGGAUGGGGUUCUAAGCACCUGAUGGAGCUGUGCACGUCCCUGCUCAUUGAAGGGGGGUUGGACCAGAUGGCCUUUAAGUGUCCCUUUCAACUCUAAGGAUUCUAUGAUUCUAUAAUUAAUUCCAAAAAUACUACAGGUUACUUUGAUUUCACUUGCAAUAUAUUUUGUUUCCACACAUGCCCUGUUUUUUUUCCAUAAAUGCUUGUCUAUAUAUUUAUAUACAUGUAUUCAUAUAUGUAUUAUGUCAUAUGUAAAGAUACUUCGGUAUUUAGAUGAUAACUCUGGACUGCCUCAUUUGUAAUCAGCACUCUAAUAAACUGGUACUGCUUGA
Molecule: long non-coding RNA, 1444 nt
Organism: Gallus gallus (chicken)
Lineage: Eukaryota; Metazoa; Chordata; Aves; Galliformes; Phasianidae
Source: Ensembl